Molecule: long non-coding RNA, 1429 nt
Filed under: Numida meleagris (helmeted guineafowl)
Lineage: Eukaryota; Metazoa; Chordata; Aves; Galliformes; Numididae
Description: lncRNA (ENSNMEG00000022119.1)
Source: RNAcentral
AUGCAGCUGCGCGCAGGCAGCAAAGCUCACACACGUACUAAGGUCGAAGUCUCUAUACCGUCUUGGUUAAGGGCACGAUUUUCACUUGCCUGCACUUUCGCCCCGACUCAGCAUAUCUGCUUUCUCCGCCCCCCACUGGAGUGGGAAGUAUUUGUUAGCGCUCUUCUGUGCGGCUCCUUUGGGUGUGUAUGCCGCGGGAGGCCGCUGCGGGGCGCUCCCCGCUGGGUAGAGCAGAGCAGAGCGGGCGCCGCGCCGGAGCUGGGGCAGCGUCGGGCUGUGUCCGGGCGUAGCUGUAGGAUCCCUGGAUCGAAGGGGUGGUUGCAAGCUUCCUUAAGGUCAGCGGUAUUACGGUUAUUGUGGCUGAUCAGUCGUGCUGGCGUUCACGGAAAACAGCUGAUCAUGGUAACAGCUGGUCCUGCACCUUUGUGAAGUCUGCACAAAGUGCGUUUAUUUCAGUGUCAUCUGGAGAGGGAUAGGGCCCUUCAAGUCAGGUGUAGCAUAGCUUGACUGCACCCCAAGUGAGUAGGAGUUGAAGGGGAAAGUAGUGAUUGGAGGAAGAGUAGGAAUUCAUGGAGAAGUUGCUUUACAAGAUGUGUCAAGAACAGUGAAUUCUGGUUGAAUGUGUGGUUUGGGUCACUUGCAGGAUAAAGAGGCAUUGUAUGCUUGUGAGACAGUUCUUGUUGUGUAGGACUUGAGCACUGUGAUAAAUGGGCAGCCUCCACCGAGAGUCUGCUUGCUUUGAGUCUUUAGAUUCUUCUCUUUGUUAGUUUUUUAAAUCUUGCGUACUGACAGGUGUUAUUUGGAUGUCAGUGAAGGAGAUUAUCUUGGUUUAUGUGGUUAGACUGUGUGGUUUUUGUUUGGUAACUUUCAGAAUUAUCACUCUGAGUAAGUCAGGCUGGUUAAAUGUGGCGCUUGUUCUUUAUCAUCAUCCUUACUUCUUUGUCUUUAUAGAUUUGUGUAUACUGUGAGAAAAAAAGAGUUACAAGUCCUUCCUUUCUUCCUCCUUUCCCACUGAUGGAGUCUUCUUUGACCAAGGGGCAAUGCAGUGCUGCCUUUAAGUUACUCUGAUUUCAGAAAACAGACCAUGUGAUGACAAAAGUAUGGUGUAGGUUUGAAUAAUACUAAGUGUCCAAUUAAAUCAAGGGAAAUUAGACAUUUCAAUUCUAAAAGAGUUGUGAGAAAACAAUUUUUUAUUCAUUUCUAAGAUGAUAUGGUUCUGAAAUUCUGUAAGUCGUUAAAAGAUUUUAAGCUUUUUUUUAAAAGUUAUUUUUGUGGAUUAUUCUGUAACUGAAAUAUAUUAGGGUUCCUCAAUGUCUGUUAUAAAUUAGUGGUGCUUACAAGUUCUUGUCUGAUGUGGUGUUGUGGUAGUUUCAGUACAGCAUGUAAAUAUGGAACUAAUAUGACACGUAUUGAACAUUAUAAUCCAUAA